CAAUUUAUUAUGCUGUACAAUAAUAUGUUGGAACUUGACAUGAUUCUUUGUGAAAAACACCCCUGUGAUUUCCCCAAAUACAGGAAACGUGACUACAUAAUUUGUGGUAGUGGGGGAUUGUGUUCACGCUCUCCUCUA
Molecule: small nuclear RNA, 138 nt
Filed under: Anser brachyrhynchus (Pink-footed goose)
Lineage: Eukaryota; Metazoa; Chordata; Aves; Anseriformes; Anatidae
Description: U1 spliceosomal RNA (ENSABRG00000021444.1)
Source: RNAcentral